RNAcentral lists this ribosomal RNA (443 nucleotides) under uncultured bacterium. RNAcentral describes it as "partial 16S ribosomal RNA". It matches the Rfam family "Bacterial small subunit ribosomal RNA", at positions 338 to 795 of the family's 1533-position model. The record is from RNAcentral.
CCUACGGGAGGCUGCAGUGGGGAAUAUUGGGCAAUGGGCGCAAGCCUGACCCAGCAACGCCGCGUGAAGGAAGAAGGCUUUCGGGUUGUAAACUUCUUUUCUCAGGGACGAAGCAAGUGACGGUACCGGAGGAAUAAGCAACGGCUAACUACGUGCCAGCAGCGCCGGUAAUACGUAGGUGGCAAGGGUUAUCCGGAUUUAUUGGGUGUAAAGGGCGUGUAGGCGGGGACGCAAGUCAGAUGUGAAAACCACGGGCUCAACCUGUGGCCUGCAUUUGAAACUGUGUUUCUUGAGUACUGGAGAGGCAGACGGAAUUCCUAGUGUAGCGGUGAAAUGCGUAGAUAUUAGGAGGAACACCAGUGGCGAAGGCGGUCUGCUGGACAGCAACUGACGCUGAGGCGCGAAAGCGUGGGGAGCAAACAGGAUUAGAUACCCUGGUAGUC